GUGAGAAUAUUCAAAAUUCUCUCUUCUAGCUAUUUUGAAUGACACAAUAUAUUAUUGUUAACUCUAGUUACCCUACUGUGCAACAGAACACCAGAACAUCAUUUGCAGCAAAGGUAAACCUAGAGAGCAUUAUGUUAAAUGAAAUAAACCAAACACAGACGGACAAAUACCUCAAGAUCUCACUCAUAUAUGGAAUCUAAAAAGGUCGAUCUUAGAAUUACAGAGUAGUGUAAUGAUUACCAGAGUCUGGCGAGGCUAGACGUGGUGGCGAUGGGGAAAGGUUGGUCAGUAGGUUCCUCUUCUUUUGUUUAAUGUGAAAUUGGUGCUGUUAAGUUUGGCUUUGAUAUGCCCAGAAACAGUAAAGGAAAGAGGAAAGAGCAUAGUUGUUGGGGGCAGAUGGAUGAGGAGAAACCCAGAGGGCAUAUAGCUCACGGGUAAAAUACUGCAGACAUGUCCCUUAACCGCUUUGAGUCUCCAUUCCUUUAUUUAUAAAAUGGGCAUGAUCAAGUCAACUUUAUGUUUCUGUGAGUUUUACAGUUCUUGCUUUAGAGAAACUUGCCUACUUUCAGGCAUGUUUUCCCAAAAGCAACAUGGUAUCAAAAAACAAAAAGGACUUCCUUCAUCAAAAGAGAUAAUUUAUUUUAAAGACAUUAUUUUCACUUGAACCUAAGUAAACCUGAUGUCAAUAUGAGGCUUUUUCCAUACGUAACCUAUCAAAAGCUAUUGGAAAGGUUGCAAGAGCCAUCUCUCUGUCUCCUCUCUCUCUCUCUCUCUCCCUCAUUUGCUGUCAUGAUUCCUGGACUAGCCCGUCUCUCGACAUUAUAUAGCCUUAGACAACACAGGAUAGAUAGUAGCAUGAAGUGUGCAGAAGUAAGUCCACCAGUAGGAUUGCUAGGGCUAGCCACCCUGUUUUCUCCUUGAACUUGACCACAACAUGUUUUACCUUGUAUCUUGCUCCAAUCACAGCUGUUUCCGUAGAAAAAUCAUUUCUUGUGAUGGACUUUUGUCUCACUGGAGUAACACUCUUUCGUGAGGAUAGCAAAAGUUGUAGGGACAGCCUAAGAUUUUUUUUUUUAAGUGGUUUUGGUUUUGUGUUUAUGGAAUGUUUGUUAGUACAGCAGGAGUGAGACUGGAUAGAGUUGAAGGUGCUGAAAGUGUCAGAUGGCAGAGCUUCGUGGGGGCCCAUGUGAAUGCUUAGAGUUUUGGUAGCCAAAACUCAAGUAAUAUAGGUUAAAACAGGCCAGUUGGCUCAUCCCAAGAAGUGAUGGAAGACUUCUGGCUCUAUCUUUCCAGGAGGCAAGAAGAACAUCAGCUGGCAGCAAACAGCACCGUUCUGUUACCACCCAUCUUUUGCUGUUGUUGGUUUCUCUCAUCUCAAAAGAGAGUCUUAUUAUGUGUCUCGUUUAAAAUAUUCUUUGUGGAUUUCCAACAAAAUCCUCUUAAGUUCUUGAAUCCAAGAGCAGAACAGAAGAGGUGGUUUGCUUCCUAGACUUCCUGAAACAUCAGCUACUUUGAUAAAUAUUUAUUGAGCACUUAUUCUGAGUGACACAUUAAACAGCUAGAUGUUACAGAGGAUGCAUCAAUGAGGGAGAUACAACUCCAUUUCUCAGGGAAAGGGAACAUUUCCGGGAAGUGAGUAGAAAUAAUCAAUGAAGCAUAUACAAAAAUAACUGGAACCAAGGCAGAGUGAGACAGGUGCCAUAGAGGUCCACCCAGUGGUGACAUCAUAUUGGGUUGGAACUUACCAAGCAACAGCUCAUAGGGAAGUCUGCAUUUGAUAGGAAAUAAAGAUAAAUGGGUAAGGUUUUACCUGACUGGGAACAUAAAAUUAUGCAGAUAAGACAAAGCAUGGCUUAAAUUUUGGCUCUAAAGCCCAUCCUUAUCAAGCUAGUUCUCCUGCGACCUAGACCUAGGUUUCAGAACUGGGGCAAUGAUACCACGGGAAGGCAGGUACAUGUAGUGUUGAACAGAAUGGACUACAGAUCACACAGAAAUCAGUCUAAAUCCUAACACUGCCAAUUACUAUUAUUUGGCUGUGAGCAAAUCCCUUGAAUGUUCUAUUUCUCAGUUUUCUUAUUUGCAGUAUCAUGGUAAUAACAUCUGCUGCAUAUAAUUGUUUUAUAUAUUAAGAUAAUGUGUGUAAAAUACCCAACUUAAUGACGGACACAUAGAACACAAUGUUAGUGCUAUAAAAGCUGUAUAUGUUAAAGUAAACCUGUGGCUUUGGAAACAAGCCAAUGGAGAAUUGAUCCAGGUCGUGCAACUUACUAGCUGUGUUUAGUCUUGAGAAAUUGGUUAAUAUUUUAAAAUCUUGGUUUUAUCACUGCUUCUUAGCAGUAAUGUGAAGAUUAAAUAAUAUAUAUAAAAUACUUAAUAUUGUGACUAGAACACAGAAUGGACUUAAUAUGUUUAUUAUUUGUAUUGCUGUUAUUUAAUACACGUCUUAGGCAAAGACAGAGAUAUAAUUUGUUUUAAUCAUGAAGUGAAAUUUUGUAGAACAUGGGUGAGACUGUCAAUGAUUGCUCUCAGUGAACAACCACAUAUGAUUCCUUCCUGAUUAGGAAUCCCCUUCUCAUUCUGCUCUGGGUACUCUGGCCUUCUUGUUUCCACGUUAGAGCCUUCUGCUCCCUCUGUCCUGAAUUCCCUUCUUCCAGGUCUGUUAUCACUGGCUCCUUCUAAUCUCUCUUAUUUCAGGUGUGAUGUUGUCUUCUCCCAAGGACCUUCUCCAACCACACUACUCGAAGUGUGUCCAGAAUUGGUGGGCUCUUGGUCUCGCUGACUUCAAGAAUGAAGCCGUGGACCCUCGCGAUUAAACAAGUGCAACUUUCCCAAUCUCACACAACUACUUGUGGAGCCAGGAUUCCAUACAGGCAAUCUUCCACUGAGGAAGAAGAAGAGAGAAGAUUGAAGAGGUGGACCGGCUGCACAUUUCAUCAUGAAGAUUUAUCCGGAGGUAACAAAACAGACAUUUGUUAAUUUCCCUCCUGAGUGGGUUUUUGGAGGCUUUCCAAUCCUCAAACAAAGAGAGCCUCAUUAGCUAAUUCCAGAGAAAACAACUGCUUCAAAGCCACAGCCUGGAGUUCAAGCUCCUUCUACUUUGGAACUCGUGGAGCCCCUCCAUCAGCCUGGCAUGAUUAACCCACAAGAACUUGACAGCGUGCAUCCUUGCACAUACAUACUGAUCCAUCAUUUCAGGUUGGGGUGUAACAUUUAUGAUCUGUCUGGAGAAGAACAGAGAAGGUUUAGGACUAUUACUUAAGAGAGAAGGUGUGAUGCAACAGAGAAAGUAGAACAAGGUAGUUUUAAUUUUUUUCCUUACAAGAGAAAUAAUCUCCACUCUAGAAGAAUCACAACACAGAUGCUUAUCAGGGAGAUAAGUUCCAGAUAGAAGAGGAGAGAAUACAAGAGCAAUUAGAAUCUUCAAAUGAGUUCAAGGAUUAGAACCAAAUGAAUGUCAUCCUGAGAUAUAAAGGGGACCUGUAGUUAUGAUUGUGGCUCCAUUGUUAGGAGUCUUUAAAUAAAUUAUGGAAAUACAGUCAGAAAUUGGAGGUUGGGAAAUGAUGGCCCAGUUUUCAAAAGGGAGCUCGGUACUGAAUAGAUGUCAAAAAACAUUUGAAAAGUUAUCAUAGGAGAGAAAGUUAUAAUUUAUAUGUUGAUUUUAAAAGUGCAGAGUUAAGCUUGAGUGCAAUGUAGAAGAAGACAGACAGCAGUUAACUAAAAGAAUUUUUUGAGAAUUGGAGCUAUUCAUACAUGAGAGUCUGCACUGCUUCCCAUCCCAGGGCCACCUCUUCUAACCCAUGUCUGAGCUGUUUAUCAGGGAAGCAGCAUUUGAUAAUCUGGUCAAAUUUGAAGCCAUUCAUUUGAACACCUUUUACUACUAGAUGGAGUCACUGUACCUUCAAAAGCACCAAGAGAUGUGUUCUGUCUCUUCCAGAUUCCACAUGAUGUCAAUCUUUCCUCUGCUUCUCCCCAAACCCACAACCCACUGGACAGACCCAGUCUUGCUGGUGCUAAGAAAUAGAUUUUGAGGGAAGUAGAAGAGAUUCUGCUUAGGCUUCUAGCCAAAGUAUAGACUGUUUCAUAAUCUCUGCUUUGUGGAUAGCGGAGCUUCCACAGCUAUUAGUAACAUGGCCCUUUGACAUCCUUUCUGCAUAUUACCAGCUCCCUCAGGAUCCCUGAUGAGCAGAGUAAGAUGCUGGAAUUCCCAGCUUCUUGCAUAAAAUACGAGAAAAUGGAGCCAAAAUGUCACUUCAACCUCUGGUAGAAGACUGGGUGAUUAGAGCACAAAACAGGUUAUCUUCUGUCAGGAAUGUUCAGGGGAAAAUUCCUGCCUUGGACAGGAAA
This 4344-nucleotide long non-coding RNA is filed under the name Homo sapiens (human). RNAcentral's name for it is "HSALNT0378159". The record is from RNAcentral. Lineage: Eukaryota; Metazoa; Chordata; Mammalia; Primates; Hominidae.